Molecule: ribosomal RNA, 402 nt
Filed under: uncultured bacterium
Lineage: Bacteria
Description: bacterial SSU rRNA
Rfam family: Bacterial small subunit ribosomal RNA
Source: RNAcentral
GGAAUAUUGCACAAUGGGGGAAACCCUGAUGCAGCAACGCCGCGUGAAGGAAGACGGUUUUCGGAUUGUAAACUUCUGUUCUUAGGGAAGAAGAAAGUGACGGUACCUAAGGAGCAAGCCACGGCUAACUACGUGCCAGCAGCCGCGGUAAUACGUAGGUGGCAAGCGUUGUCCGGAAUUACUGGGUGUAAAGGGAGCGCAGGCGGGAAGCCAAGUCAGCUGUGAAAACUACGGGCUUAACUUGUAGACUGCAGUUGAAACUGGUUUUCUUGAGUGAAGUAGAGGUUGGCGGAAUUCCGAGUGUAGCGGUGAAAUGCGUAGAUAUUCGGAGGAACACCGGUGGCGAAGGCGGCCAACUGGGCUUUAACUGACGCUGAGGCUCGAAAGUGUGGGGAGCAAACA